UAAAUUGCAGAAUCUCUAAUUAUCCAUCACCCAUGUCUCCAUUCUUCUAAAAAAUCACUGAGGGUGCUGCAAAUCUUGCUGAGAAUGAUUGAGAUGCAUGAUCAGUGUCCUUUGUUUUUGGUUAUUGUUCAUUGUCUUCCUCGUUUCUCCUUCACCUUAUCCAUUCUUCUUCCUCAUUUUCUUCAUCAUAGAACCACACUAGAUUCUCACCCACUACUCUUUUAUAUCCACCUUCGAUCAACCAAUUUGCACUUGUUUAUUACAUAUUUUUUCCCAAAC
This 279-nucleotide long non-coding RNA is filed under the name Lupinus angustifolius (narrow-leaved blue lupine). RNAcentral's name for it is "long non-coding RNA (LANG_LNC003336)". The record is from RNAcentral. Lineage: Eukaryota; Viridiplantae; Streptophyta; Magnoliopsida; Fabales; Fabaceae.